Molecule: transfer RNA, 73 nt
Filed under: Mycobacteroides abscessus
Lineage: Bacteria; Bacillati; Actinomycetota; Actinomycetes; Mycobacteriales; Mycobacteriaceae
Description: tRNA-Trp
Rfam family: tRNA
About the family: Transfer RNA (tRNA) molecules are approximately 80 nucleotides in length. Their secondary structure includes four short double-helical elements and three loops (D, anti-codon, and T loops). Further hydrogen bonds mediate the characteristic L-shaped molecular structure. tRNAs have two regions of fundamental functional importance: the anti-codon, which is responsible for specific mRNA codon recognition, and the 3' end, to which the tRNAs corresponding amino acid is attached (by aminoacyl-tRNA synthetases). tRNAs cope with the degeneracy of the genetic code in two manners: having more than one tRNA (with a specific anti-codon) for a particular amino acid; and 'wobble' base-pairing, i.e. permitting non-standard base-pairing at the 3rd anti-codon position.
Source: RNAcentral
GUCUAGGUAGCUCAAUUGGUAGAGCGGUGGUCUCCAAAGCCACUGGUUGCAGGUUCAAGUCCUGUCCUAUUCG